RNAcentral lists this ribosomal RNA (467 nucleotides) under uncultured bacterium. RNAcentral's name for it is "bacterial SSU rRNA". It matches the Rfam family "Bacterial small subunit ribosomal RNA", at positions 64 to 524 of the family's 1533-position model. The record is from RNAcentral.
GAGCGGUAACAGGCGUAGCUAUACGUGCUGACGAGCGGCGAACGGGUGAGUAAUGCUUCGGAAUCUGCCCAGUAGUGGGGAAUAACCAUCCGAAAGGAUGGCUAAUACCGCAUACGUCCUACGGGAGAAAGCGGGGGAUCGUAAGACCUCGCGCUAUUGGAUGAGCCGAAGCCGGAUUAGCUAGUUGGUAGGGUAACGGCCUACCAAGGCGACGAUCCGUAGCUGGUCUGAGAGGACGACCAGCCACACUGGGACUGAGACACGGCCCAGACUCCUACGGGAGGCAGCAGUGGGGAAUAUUGGACAAUGGGGGAAACCCUGAUCCAGCGACGCCGCGUGUGUGAAGAAGGCCUGCGGGUUGUAAAGCACUUUUAGUGGGGAUGAAAAGCCUUGGGAUAACACCCCAGGGUCUUGACCUAACCCAAAGAAAAAGCACCGGCUAACUCUGUGCCAGCAGCCGCGGUAAU